CACGUAGGGUGCGAGCGUUGUCCGGAAUUAUUGGGCGUAAGGAGCUCGUAGGCGGUUCGUCGCGUCGGCUGUGAAAUCCCGAGGCUCAACCUCGGGUCUGCAGUCGAUACGGGCGGACUGGAGUACUGCAGGGGAGACUGGAAUUCCUGGUGUAGCGGUGAAAUGCGCAGAUAUCAGGAGGAACACCGGUGGCGAAGGCGGGUCUCUGGGCAGUUACUGACGCUGAGGAGCGAAAGCGUGGGGAGCGAACAGG
RNAcentral lists this ribosomal RNA (253 nucleotides) under uncultured bacterium. RNAcentral's name for it is "partial 16S ribosomal RNA". It matches the Rfam family "Bacterial small subunit ribosomal RNA", at positions 524 to 776 of the family's 1533-position model. The record is from RNAcentral.